AUGGGCAGCAUGGCUUACGCCGAUAACAUUUAAAAAAAGGUGCUAAGUUUAUAUAAACAUAUUUUUAGAUUUGAAACCGGUUUCUACUUAGUGGCGGUAGAGGAUACACCAGGUGUGAUACUGGAAAGUAAUGAAGCUGCAAAUUUUUCGUGGAAAACUCCAAUGGAAUUCAUUAGGGAUUACUUUAACAAAGAGUUAUAUCUUCCUCCUCCGCAGUUAUACGAGUUAUCAAGGCUGCUAAAUUUCUCUCGCUUAGAUGAAUUGAUAAAUUUUGCACGUGUUCGCUCCUCAAAGGGCAUUUCCCUAAUGCUUCCUGUUAUCCAGAAAUGUGCCGAUGGAACCGUAAGCCUAAUGCCAGGCGAUGACUUAUACAACAAUAAUAUAGAAGAAACAAACAAAGUAAAUGCUGAAACUAUAACAAUUGAACAAUUUCGAUCGGAUGUUAAGAAUUUGCAUCGCGUGGAGUAUUUUAAAAAUGGAUCAGUUUUUAUACAACAUAAUUGUUCACUGACAGAUGGACAUUUGCCACCGGUAAAAGGCAUUUUUCACUGACUGAAGUAAUAUUUACUUUACGUAAAAUUGCGAAACAUAUAUUCAGACGGAAUUGGUUAAAGAUAUAUUAUCUAAAAUGUAUUGGAAAUCUGGGAAUCUUUAGGAAUAAAUUUGGUUACUUAAUUAA
Zeugodacus cucurbitae (melon fly) is the source of this 679-nucleotide long non-coding RNA. RefSeq lists it as uncharacterized. The transcript has 3 exons. The record is from RefSeq and is a predicted model, not a curated record. Lineage: Eukaryota; Metazoa; Arthropoda; Insecta; Diptera; Tephritidae.